AUACUGACCUGGCAGGGGAGAAUCUGUGAUCACGAAGGUGGUUUCCUCAGAGCGAGGCUUAUCCAUUGCACUCUGGAUGUGCUGACCCCUGCAGUUUCCCCAAGUGUGGGAAACUCGACUGCAUAAUUUGUAGCAGUGAAGGACUGUGUUCACACUUUCCCCUG
Molecule: small nuclear RNA, 164 nt
Organism: Saimiri boliviensis boliviensis (Bolivian squirrel monkey)
Lineage: Eukaryota; Metazoa; Chordata; Mammalia; Primates; Cebidae
Gene: U1
Rfam family: U1 spliceosomal RNA
About the family: U1 is a small nuclear RNA (snRNA) component of the spliceosome (involved in pre-mRNA splicing).
Source: Ensembl